GUAUUUGUUUUAUAGGCAAUAAAGCCCAUUGAUUACAUUCUUAACAUACAUUUGGGGUAUAUGAAAAACGUAGACCUUUAAAAAUUAAAAGACAAUUGACAAGGAAAGCUGGACUUUGCGCGCAGCAGAUCCUCUAUCCGAGUUGCCUCGAGUAUUCGCUCUCUAAUUUCAAAAGACUACAAAAGGUGCACAGGUGGAGAAGUAAAGAUGGAAAGGCGUGCACUUGCUCCUAAGAACCAGCAACAACCUCUACCAAGUUUAUUCAAUAAUGAUCCUUCCGCAGGUUCACCUACGGAAA
Molecule: unclassified non-coding RNA, 298 nt
Filed under: uncultured fungus
Lineage: Eukaryota; Fungi
Description: sequence contains ITS1
Source: RNAcentral